Molecule: ribosomal RNA, 492 nt
Filed under: uncultured bacterium
Lineage: Bacteria
Description: partial 16S ribosomal RNA
Rfam family: Bacterial small subunit ribosomal RNA
Source: RNAcentral
AGUGAACGCUGGCGGUAGGCCUAACACAUGCAAGUCGAACGGCAGCACAGUAAGAGCUUGCUCUUACGGGUGGCGAGUGGCGGACGGGUGAGGAAUACAUCGGAAUCUACUUUUUCGUGGGGGAUAACGUAGGGAAACUUACGCUAAUACCGCAUACGAUCUACGGGUGAAAGCAGGGGAUCUUCGGACCUUGCGCGAUUGAAUGAGCCGAUGUCGGAUUAGCUAGUUGGCGGGGUAAAGGCCCACCAAGGCGACGAUCCGUAGCUGGUCUGAGAGGAUGAUCGGCCACACUGGAACUGAGACACGGUCCAGACUCCUACGGGAGGCAGCAGUAGGGAAUAUUGGACAAUGGGCGCAAGCCUGAUCCAGCCAUACCGCGUGGGUGAAGAAGGCCUUCGGGUUGUAAAGCCCUUUUGUUGGGAAAGAAAAGCAGCAGAUUAAUACCCCGCUGUUCUGACGGUACCCAAAGAAUAAGCACCGGCUAACUUCGUG